RNAcentral lists this ribosomal RNA (254 nucleotides) under uncultured bacterium. RNAcentral's name for it is "partial 16S ribosomal RNA". It matches the Rfam family "Bacterial small subunit ribosomal RNA", at positions 524 to 776 of the family's 1533-position model. The record is from RNAcentral.
UACGGAGGGUGCAAGCGUUAUCCGGAUUCACUGGGUUUAAAGGGUGCGUAGGCGGGUUGGUAAGUCCGUGGUGAAAUCCCCCAAGCUUAACUUGGGAACUGCCGUGGAUACUAUCAAUCUUGAAUAUCGUGGAGGUAAGCGGAAUAUGUCAUGUAGCGGUGAAAUGCUUAGAUAUGACAUAGAACACCAAUUGCGUAGGCAGCUUACUACACGAUCAUUGACGCUGAGGCACGAAAGCGUGGGGAGCAAACAGG